This 253-nucleotide ribosomal RNA is filed under the name uncultured bacterium. RNAcentral's name for it is "partial 16S ribosomal RNA". It matches the Rfam family "Bacterial small subunit ribosomal RNA", at positions 524 to 776 of the family's 1533-position model. The record is from RNAcentral.
UACGUAGGGGGCUAGCGUUGUUCGGAAUUACCGGGCGUAAAGCGCGCGUAGGCGGCUUUGUAAGUUAGAGGUGAAAGCCCGAAGCUCAACUUCGGAAUUGCCUUUAAGACUGCAUCGCUAGAAUCUUGGAGAGGCGAGUGGAAUUCCGAGUGUAGAGGUGAAAUUCGUAGAUAUUCGGAAGAACACCAGUGGCGAAGGCGACUCGCUGGACAAGUAUUGACGCUGAGGUGCGAAAGCGUGGGGAGCAAACAGG